This is a long non-coding RNA of Aotus nancymaae (Ma's night monkey), 1673 nucleotides long. The record is from Ensembl. NCBI's taxonomy places the organism in Eukaryota, Metazoa, Chordata, Mammalia, Primates, Aotidae.
AUGGUUGAACAACUCCUGGGGGAAGCAGUACUCCUAUGUGCUCUUCAAGGCCAUGAGCCACAUGCUCCACAUCUGCUGAGGGUGGCAGGUGCCGGUGGGCAUGUCCGAUGUCUGCUUCACCAUGCUCAGCAUGAUCGUGGGUGCCACCUGCUAUGCCAUGUUCAUCGGCCAUGCCACUGCCCUCAUCCAGUCCCUGGACUCCUCCCGGCGCAGUACCAGGAAAAGAGAAGAAAACAGAGAAUUGGGGCCCGCGACUCUGUCCCAAAUCUCACGGCUGGAAGGAAUGGAGCCGUCUUGAUGGUGCCCAGCACCCACACAGCUCCCGGAGGAGUGGCUGGCUCCCGCAGCUGGAGAGCCACCUGCAAGCUCUCUGCUGAAAAGCCUCUUUGGGCCUCCUUUCUCUCACAGAAGGAAGUCCCACCUUCUCAGCCUGGCAUCAGGGGCCGCUUCAGACCGACUCUUCUGAAAGUAUCAACCAUGCCAAACUUUGCUUCAAAUCCCAGUUUCCUGCACUGGGAAUGGAACUCAUGCCCCAGGCUGCAUGUAGCCUUUGCAUUUUCCUGGCUCACUCAUGCUGGUCUUUCUUCUGCCUGGAACACUCCAAGCCCAUUCCUGCCACAGGACCUUUGCUCUGCUGCUCCCUCGCCCUAGACAGCUGUCAGCACAUCUGGCUUCUCCUUGUUAGCUACCUCGGCAGACAGGCUUCCCCAGCACCCAACUACAUUUGCAUGAUGUCCCCACUGAACCAGCCCCAGUCACUCUCAUUCCCAUUACCCUGCUUUAUAUUCUUCAUAGCCUGCAUCCAGGAUGGGUCAUCUUCUGUCUGCCCAGGCUCAGUAAGUAGCUGCUGAAAGAACAAAUGAACGUGUGCUCAGUGCCAGCUGGCUCCAGCCACGUGGAUACCUCUGCUGGCCUGUCUGGAGAAGCUCAGGCUGGCUGGCCAUGGCCUCUGCCCUGGGAGAGUGUCCACAUGGGGCCAGGGGCCAGGCUUGUUGGCAGGAAGUCCCAGUGAAGCCCAAGAGCUAAGAAAGCUGCCACCUCCCCCCGCCCCCACUUGCUGAGUAGAUGCCAUUUGUCCAUCCCUGAUGCAGUGUUGACCAGGGUCUUUGCCCCUCCUGGAAAGAACCAGCCUGGGCCCUCCAUGCACAGAUGAGUCCCACCCCUGGCCUAUGGACUCCUUUGAAAUAGGUGGGCGUGGGCCUCCUAGUACAGGGUGGGAGCAAGGCCUGGUUUCUCACCCUGCUCCUGUGCAUCCCUGGCCAUAAGUCUUGCCCUCUCUGGCCUCCAUUUGCUGCCCUGUAAAGUGAGGCAUGAAGUCCCAGUGUUCUUCCAGUUCUCCAGGCACGUGCCUCACUUGCCAACUGGAUUCAAGCUGCCCAGAGGCUACAACCUGGACAAAGCCGGCCCAUAGCAGCUGAAAAAGGACAGCAGCUGCUCAUUAAAAUGGAGCUGCAAAUGGGGUGGUGGCUUAUACCUGUAAUCCCAGCACUUUGGGAGGCCGAGGUGGGCAGAUCGUGAGGUCAGGAGUUCAAGACCAGACUGGCCAAUACGGUGAGACCCUGUCUCUUCUAAUAAAUACAAAAAUUAGCUGAGCAUGGUGGCUUGUGCCUGUAAUCCCAGCUACUUGGGAGGCUGAGGUAGGAGAAUUACUUGAAGUGGGAAUUGGGAGGCGG